AGUGGCGGACGGGUGAGUAAUGCGUAGGAACCUAUCCUUUUGUGGGGGACAACCCAGGGAAACUUGGGCUAAUACCGCAUAAGCCCUGAGGGGGAAAGCGGGGGAUCUUCGGACCUCGUGCUGAAGGAGGGGCCUACGUCCGAUUAGCUAGUUGGUGGGGUAAAGGCCUACCAAGGCGACGAUCGGUAGCUGGUCUGAGAGGACGACCAGCCACACUGGGACUGAGACACGGCCCAGACUCCUACGGGAGGCAGCAGUGGGGAAUUUUUCGCAAUGGGGGCAACCCUGACGAAGCAAUGCCGCGUGGAUGAAGAAGGCCUUCGGGUUGUAAAGUCCUUUCGUGGGGGACGAAAAGGCGGAUCCGAAUACGGUCUGCUAUUGACGUGAACCCAAGAAGAAGCACCGGCUAACUCCGUGCCAGCAGCCGCGGUAAUACGGAGGGUGCGAGCGUUAAUCGGAAUUACUGGGCGUAAAGGGCGCGUAGGCGGUGGGUUACGUCUGCCGUGAAAUCCCCGGGCUCAACCUGGGAAUGGCGGUGGAAACGGGCUGACUGGAGUAUGGGAGAGGGUGAUGGAAUUCCAGGUGUA
RNAcentral lists this ribosomal RNA (587 nucleotides) under uncultured Acidithiobacillus sp. Its description in RNAcentral is "bacterial SSU rRNA". It matches the Rfam family "Bacterial small subunit ribosomal RNA", at positions 94 to 677 of the family's 1533-position model. The record is from RNAcentral. Lineage: Bacteria; Pseudomonadati; Pseudomonadota; Acidithiobacillia; Acidithiobacillales; Acidithiobacillaceae.